RNAcentral lists this ribosomal RNA (391 nucleotides) under Staphylococcus pseudintermedius. RNAcentral's name for it is "partial 23S ribosomal RNA". It matches the Rfam family "Bacterial large subunit ribosomal RNA", at positions 1 to 385 of the family's 2925-position model. The record is from RNAcentral. Lineage: Bacteria; Bacillati; Bacillota; Bacilli; Caryophanales; Staphylococcaceae.
GAUUAAGUUAUUAAGGGCGCACGGUGGAUGCCUUGGCACUAGAAGCCGACGAAGGACGUUACUAACGACGAUAUGCUUUGGGGAGCUGUAAGUAAGCUUUGAUCCAAAGAUUUCCGAAUGGGGAAACCCAGCACGAGUUAUGUCGUGUUAUCUGCAUGUGAAUACAUAGCAUGCAAGAAGGCAGACCCGGAGAACUGAAACAUCUUAGUACCCGGAGGAAGAGAAAGAAAAAUCGAUUCCCUGAGUAGCGGCGAGCGAAACGGGAAGAGCCCAAACCAAUAAGCUUGCUUAUUGGGGUUGUAGGACACUCUGUACGGAGUUACAAAAGAAUUUGUUAGACGAAUAACCUGGAAAGGUUAAUCAGAGAAGGUAAUAAUCCUGUAGUCGAAAA